Brienomyrus brachyistius is the source of this 541-nucleotide long non-coding RNA. RefSeq lists it as uncharacterized. The transcript is spliced from 4 exons. NCBI's taxonomy places the organism in Eukaryota, Metazoa, Chordata, Actinopteri, Osteoglossiformes, Mormyridae. The record is from RefSeq and is a predicted model, not a curated record.
GUGUCGCUCAGACCACGUGCUGCCAGGCGUGGAGUGUUUCUGGGUUUGGUAGAGUGUCGCUCAGACCACGUGCUGCCAGGCGUGGAGUGUUUCUGGGUUUGGUAGAGUGCUGCUCAGACCACACGCUGCCAGGCGUGGAGUGUUUCUGGGUUUGGUAGAGUGCUGCUCAGACCACAUGCUGCCAGGCGUGGAGUGUUUCUGGGUUUGGUAGAGUGCCGCUCAGACCACAUGCUGCCAGGCGUGGAGUGUUUCUGGGUUUGGUAGAGUGCUGCUCAGACCACACGCUGCCAGGCGUGGAGUGUUUCUGGGUUUGGUAGAGUGCUGCUCAGACCACACGCUGCCAGGUGUGGAGUGUUUCUGGGUUUGGUAGAGUGCUGCUCAGACCACAUGCUGCCAGGCGUGGAGUGUUUCUGGGUUUGGUAGAGUGCUGCUCAGACCACAUGCUGCCAGGUGUGGAGUGUUUCUGGGUUUGGUAGAGUGCUGCUCAGACCACGUGCUGCCAGGCGUGGAGUGUUUCUGGGUUUGGUAGCCUGCCGCUAAA